CUUAACUGACAUGUUUGUUUUUCUACCAACAAAAUUACUCACGUGUCACUAGAUCAAACAUAAAUAGACUAUAUAUCAUAUUCUGAUUAAUGAUCUAAAUAUUUGAUUUGGCUCACAAAGAUUAAGACUGGGAUGUUGCAUACUUUCAUGUAUGUUAAUCUAAAAUCUUACGUUCAUUUCUUAAUGUAGAGAUCCAAGAUAAAAGAGCAAUUUCUAUGCAUGCAUAAUCCAAUUCGUUUGAAGAAAAAUUAGUGGAUAUGGGAAUUUUGUCAAAGAGACUUAAAAUAGACGAAAAUAAAUGCAGUGAAGAGUCAUUUUCGUUGAGGAGAGACUUGCCUAACUAUUCAAAAGCAGCAUUAUGAGACUCGAUAGCUACUUUUCUGUUGCCUUUUGUAGCUACUACAUUGAUAUAAUGGCUGACUCUGUUUUCCUCGACAUGUUAGAAUCACUCAUCAAAGGAUUAGUGAUAUUUUUUGAUUUAAGAUGAGGUCAUGCUUAUCUCAUAUGAACACUUAAUUUGCAAUCAAAACGCUUAUCUAAGAGAAAAAAAUAAUAAGCCUGACAGGCUUACUCUAAUGCAAUAUGGUCAAAUGAUAACUAACUUGUCAAGGUGCUUAGAUUCAAAAUUAUAAAUUUACUUCAGUAAACGUUUUCUAACUUCAAUACAUACUCAUCUGAAUGUUGAAGAUUUUUCUAAAAUCUGUAAAAUUAAAUUGGUUAAUUAUUGAGCUCUUAUAAAUAAAAAGAAAACAGAAUGUCAUUGACUGACUACUCAAGGAUUCAAAAAGGUAAUAUAGAAAACGGUCAAUUACCCUAUUUAAACUGAUCAAUCAGUGUCAUUAUUUAUGUUUUAACCAUUAAGAAGGAAAAUAUCUUAUCUUAAUUAGCGCUUUUUAAUUCCGUUUAAUUUUGUUGGGUAAAAAAAUUCCAUUUAAUUUUAAAAAUGGAAUUUAAAAGGGAAAUGAUUAAUUACGGGAAUUAAAAAUAAAUGCGAUGACCUAUCACAUUGCUACAAAUACAAUUCACAAUGUGAUCAAAGUGAAUUCUGUUAUUCUUAAAAAAAAACUUUCUGAAUCGUCACAUCACAGGUUACAAGAAAGAGAGUACUUUUUGGUUCUUCAAGUUCCAUAUUGAGAUGGGACGAGCAACGAGAUGGUUUAAGAGAUUGUUUAGCACCAAGAAGAGCCUUGAUUCGGAUUCAGAGAAAGAACAGAACAAACAAGCAAUUGCUGUUGCUACCACAACAGCUACAACUGCAGAAGCAGCGGUUUCGGCAGCUAAAGCGGCCGAGUCAGUGGUUACAGGAGAUAUCAUCACGAGGGACGAGCGUUGGGCCGCUAUGAAAAUUCAAAAAGUCUUCAGGGGCUCUCUGGCGAGGAAAGCGUUACGUGCACUGAAAGGUAUAGUAAAGCUACAAGCUCUAGUGAGAGGAUACUUGGUUAGGAAACGCGCUGCUGUGAUGCUGCAUAACAUGCAAACUUUGGUUAGAGUCCAAACCGUUAUGCGGUCUAAACGCAAUCGCCGUCUCAACAAAGAGUACAACGACAUGUUUCAACCACGACAUUCCCUUGUAAUUAAUGAACCAAUGUUAUCAAUUAUGUUGCUUCUUGUUCUUUAAGCUAAAAGCAAGACUGAAGUGUUAGCGGCCGGCGACGCAUUGAAGAGGAGAUCUAAGUCUAGAAAAAAGCACGAUGUUGCUUCAAUGUCUGAACAUAAAGACGGCUUUGUUUACCAAAGGAAUGAUUUGGAGUUGAAUCUACCCAAGGAGAAGUGGAAGUUUGCGAGGACGCCUAGAUUAUCAUCUUCAUUGCACAGCCACUCGGCUAAUAAUCGUUAUUAUGUUAUGCAGUCUCCUGGUAAGAGUGUUUGUGGAAACGCUACGUGUGAGUAUGGAAUGAGUACUCCUGGCUACAUGGAGAAAACGCAGUCGUUUAAGGCGAAGGUGCGUUCGCAUAGCGCACCGCAUCAGCGAUCUGAGAGGAUGCGGUUGUCGCUAGAUGAGGUUAUAGCGUCAAGGAGUAGCGUUAGCGGCGAGAGUUUGCAGCAGCAGCCGCGCUAUUCUUGUUCCUAAUCCGCUCUGAUUUUUUAUUAUUGUUAUUUUGGCUUUUCCUGAUUUUUAAAACGCUUUCUUCUACCAUGAAUUAUAAAAAAAAAAACCUUUUUUACUAUUCUAUUACAGUGAUUCUAAAUAGUACGUCAACACCUCUACAAUCGAUAAUUUAACAUGAUAUAAUCCAUGUGUAAAAGUUCUAUUUGUACUACAAAUCCUCUCUCGAUCCCGGUUCUACUUGCCCAAGGACACCUUAUAUUAACAAUACCCUCUCCACGUACGAUCAGUCUCAACCGUGGAUGCAUUAGUCUACUCAAUAUCCUCUGGCCAUAUCAAGUCUCGAAGUCUAGAAAAUAAUCCAUCUCUGUAGUAUAUAGCUGUUCUCGCCGUCGAAGUCAAUUUCUCAGAGAUAUCGUUUUUGUUUUUGAUAACUUCAAUGGUAUCGUUUUAUAAUUCUGAUUCAACUUAACAGUCUGAUGGUUUAACUGGAUCCUACUCAAAUGACAUCUAUUCCAAGUUAGAUAAAAGAAACAAUCAGGUUCAGAAUCAAGACACAUGAGGAUAAGAUACAAAAAUGUAUAAUGACACUGAACCAGACCCAUUUGGGCAGGUCGUAACAGCACAAAAUGGUAUCACAGAACCAGUUUUACCACUGAGGUUUUGUGGAUGUAGUAAAAAAUAUGUAUUGGAAUACAAAAAUCAAUUUAAUAAAAAUAGUUAAAAAUGGUUGGGUCUUCUUCAUCCUGAUCUUUAUUUUACAAGUCUCAAAACAUUUUUGAUUUUUCUAGCAAAUGUUUGCUGCUUCAACAAAACUUGCUGCUUACGGUGUCGUAGCUAGGAACAGACAAACACUGCCAAACAAAAGAACCAGACACAAUAUUAAGGACACACAAGAUCACUGCCUCUUUUUUAUACCUCUAUAAGUGAAAAACAAUAUAUUAAAUGUAUUAAGGAAAAGAGACAGAUGUUCUCCGAAGCAACCCAUUUUCAAAGGCUUUGAAAUCAUCUUGCUGGUGAAUUCUGUAAUUUCAACUGAAGUUCGUCUACUGCCUUCAAGAACUGCUCAACUGGUUUCCUGCAAUAACUUUUUUUUGUAAUAUAAAAACACUUUCAUGAGAAAUCAGCCCUCGCCUCUCCCCAACGAUGAUGCAGCGCUGGAUUGAUUUAGAUCCUUUCUCCCACCUCUGAUCGAGAUUCAUCAUCUCGCAUCGUUUCCACCAUCUCCUCCUUUCUCAAUCCUUCCAUCCGUAGGUUGGUUUUCUUUGACGGUAACUACAAAGUUCUAUGUCAGAUUCUGGGCCUAGCCCACACUUUUUGGAAUGGUUUAUGUAAUUGGCCUUGCUCUAACACUGUCUCAAAUGGGCCUAUAUCUUUUAUUUAUUUAUUUAUUCUAUGCAAUGAAAACCAGUUUACAAAAAAAAAACACUUUCAUGACCAAGAAGAAAAAAACUAUUGAGAUUAAAGUGAAAUCUUAAGAUGUAUAACAUUAAUUUGAAUAUAAUUAAACCAAUAACAUUUAACCCAAGAUUUUUGACUUUCCAAAUAACCAAUUACAGAAAUAAGGGAAUAGAUGAUAUUGGUUUCAAUAUGAAAAAAUAAUACAUAACAUCUACAAAUAAUAUAGAACAUAAGGUUCAUUUCAUUACAUACGCGAUUUAAUAAAAUUGCGAAGCAAAUUUCAAAUAAUAUGAACAUGAUAACAAAUUGAUCGACAAAUAGUAUAGUCAUUGAUAGACAAAUGGUAUAUAAAUUAAUAAUUUGAAACAAUAUUAUGAUGGAAGGAAAGUAUUUUAUUAUCAGUAAACAAAUCGUAUUAAUUGUAUUUGUAAUUCUUGUCCAACGUUUGAACGAAUCAAAAAUUUCAUAUUACAAAAAAUCAUACAAAAUGAAGAGAAUCGAAUAUGAAAGCAUAACAGAUUGUUCUAUUCACGAAUAUAGUAUAUUAACCUUAUAUAAAUAGCUACACUAAAAAAUUAUACAAUGCUAUUAUUUCUUUUCACUGAAUAUAGUAUAAUUGGCGAGUUCAUCUUCUUCAUUUCUUCCUAUUUUCAAGACAUGACACCACAUAUUCACCAUCCAACCGUCAUUAAAUAUUAAAUUUAUAUAUUAUGAUCCCUGUCAAAAAUAUUUCUGGCUCAGCGAGUGGUUACAUCGACUUCUACCAAGAUGAGAGAAGUUGAACUCUUGGCUUACAUCAAAAAUACCAAAAAGAGUUAUGAUAAUAUGGUUACAAGGCUGCGAUGGGAAGCAAUAUGGUGAGAGAGCAGCUUUUAAAAAAUAUGUUGGUCCCUUGAAAACUGGGUUAUCACUUCAAACUGGAGAUAUUUCUAUUAGUGUAGGCAAUUCUGAUUCAGUAAGGGCUCUCUAUGACAACAGUGCACCAGUUUUUGUGAGAAUAAAAUUGUUUUUUUUUUCAGAGUAAAUUGUUGUUCAUUACUUCUCGUGGGAAGAUGUUUAUGGACAAUGUGAAUUUGAUUUAUGUUAUCUCUUUAGACCAGGAAACAAGAUUAAGUUCUUGGUUCCUGAUUCCGGCUUGUUCUAGGUUGCAGGGAUUGUCACAUGGCCGAGAAGAGAUAGGGGAAGAAAAUUGUUGCCUUAGAGCCAUACGCUCUUGAACAAGGCUUUGCUUCUAUCUCAUCCUCUCCCCAGAAAAGGCAGGAGAUAUAAAGUUCCUUUGUCUCAUCGCUCUUUGGUGUUAGAAAGUAUGUGAGCAAUUGGUUCCUUUCUUGUGUGUUUGGUUGUAUGAAGAAAGCAUUCUUAUCCACUCUAAUAUAUAUUUGCAACGUGAGGUUUGGUUACA
Brassica rapa (field mustard) is the source of this 4850-nucleotide RNA transcript. RefSeq lists it as uncharacterized. Lineage: Eukaryota; Viridiplantae; Streptophyta; Magnoliopsida; Brassicales; Brassicaceae. The record is from RefSeq and is a predicted model, not a curated record.